UACGUAGGGUGCAAGCGUUGUCCGGAAUUAUUGGGCGUAAAGAGCUCGUAGGCGGUUCGUCGCGUCUGCUGUGAAAACUGGGGGCUCAACCCCCCAGCCUGCAGUGGGUACGGGCAGACUAGAGUGCGGUAGGGGAGAUUGGAAUUCCUGGUGUAGCGGUGGAAUGCGCAGAUAUCAGGAGGAACACCGAUGGCGAAGGCAGAUCUCUGGGCCGUAACUGACGCUGAGGAGCGAAAGCAUGGGGAGCGAACAGG
This 254-nucleotide ribosomal RNA is filed under the name uncultured bacterium. Its description in RNAcentral is "partial 16S ribosomal RNA". It matches the Rfam family "Bacterial small subunit ribosomal RNA", at positions 524 to 776 of the family's 1533-position model. The record is from RNAcentral.